UGGCUCUCGCAUCGAUGAAGAACGCAGCGAAAUGCGAUAAGUAAUGUGAAUUGCAGAAUUCAGUGAAUCAUCGAAUCUUUGAACGCACCUUGCGCCCUUUGGUAUUCCAGAGGGCAUGCCUGUUUGAGUAUCAUGAACACCUCAACUCCUCACGGUCCGCCGUGAUGAGCUUGGACUUUGGGGGUCUUGCUGGCCUGUGGUCGGCUCCUCUCAAAUGAAUCAGCUUGCCAGUGUUUGGUGGCAUCACGGGUGUGAUAACUAUCUACGCUUGUGGUUUUCCACCAGGUAACCUUCAGCAAUGGAGGUUCGCUGGGGCUCACAAACGUCCCUCCUCGGUGAGGACAGCUUCUUGAAUGUUUGAUCUCAAAUCAGGUAGGGCUACCCGCUGA
Molecule: unclassified non-coding RNA, 389 nt
Filed under: uncultured fungus
Lineage: Eukaryota; Fungi
Description: partial contains 5.8S ribosomal RNA and internal transcribed spacer 2
Rfam family: 5.8S ribosomal RNA (bases 1-133)
Source: RNAcentral